This 371-nucleotide ribosomal RNA is filed under the name uncultured organism. Its description in RNAcentral is "bacterial SSU rRNA". It matches the Rfam family "Bacterial small subunit ribosomal RNA", at positions 526 to 896 of the family's 1533-position model. The record is from RNAcentral.
CAGAGGGUGCGAGCGUUAAUCGGAAUUACUGGGCGUAAAGCGCGCGUAGGCGGCUUUGCAAGUCGGGUGUGAAAUCCCCAGGCUUAACCUGGGAACUGCAUUCGAGACUGCAUUGCUAGAGUAUGGGAGAGGGAAGUGGAAUUUCCGGUGUAGCGGUGAAAUGCGUGGAUAUCGGAAGGAACAUCAGUGGCGAAAGCGACUUCCUGGACCAAUACUGACGCUCAUGUGCGAAAGCGUGGGGAGCAAACAGGAUUAGAUACCCUGGUAGUCCACGCCAUAAACGAUGAGAACUGGAUGUCGGGAGGGUCUGCCUCUCGGUGUCGUAGCUAACGCGUUAAGUUCUCCGCCUGGGGAGUACGGCCGCAAGGUUG